UACUCGAGUGGCGAACGGGUGAGUAACACGUGGGUGAUCUGCCCUGCACUUCGGGAUAAGCUUGGGAAACUGGGUCUAAUACCGGAUAGGACCGCACUUUAGUGUGUGUGGUGGAAAGUUUUUUAGGUGUAGGAUGAGCUCGCGGCCUAUCAGCUUGUUGGUGGGGUAAUGGCCUACCAAGGCGGCGACGGGUAGCCGGCCUGAGAGGGUGUACGGCCACAUUGGGACUGAGAUACGGCCCAG
RNAcentral lists this ribosomal RNA (243 nucleotides) under uncultured Actinomycetales bacterium. RNAcentral describes it as "partial 16S ribosomal RNA". It matches the Rfam family "Bacterial small subunit ribosomal RNA", at positions 88 to 334 of the family's 1533-position model. The record is from RNAcentral. Lineage: Bacteria; Bacillati; Actinomycetota; Actinomycetes; Actinomycetales.